Molecule: ribosomal RNA, 253 nt
Filed under: uncultured bacterium
Lineage: Bacteria
Description: partial 16S ribosomal RNA
Rfam family: Bacterial small subunit ribosomal RNA
Source: RNAcentral
UACGAAGGGGGCUAGCGUUGCUCGGAAUCACUGGGCGUAAAGGGUGCGUAGGCGGGUUUUUAAGUCAGGGGUGAAAUCCUGGAGCUCAACUCCAGAACUGCCUUUGAUACUGAAGAUCUUGAGUCCGGGAGAGGUGAGUGGAACUGCGAGUGUAGAGGUGAAAUUCGUAGAUAUUCGCAAGAACACCAGUGGCGAAGGUGGCUCACUGGCCCGGUACUGACGCUGAGGUGCGAAAGCGUGGGGAGCAAACAGG